GUCUAUGGUCAUACCACCCUGAACGCACGAGAUGUCAUCUGAUCUCGGGAAGCUAAGCAGGGUCAGACCUGGUUAGUACUUGGAUGGCAGAUCACCUGGGAAUACCAGGUGCUGUGGGCU
RNAcentral lists this ribosomal RNA (120 nucleotides) under Rhinopithecus roxellana (golden snub-nosed monkey). Lineage: Eukaryota; Metazoa; Chordata; Mammalia; Primates; Cercopithecidae. The record is from RNAcentral.